GUCCAUGCCGUAAACGUUGGGAACUAGAUGUAGGGCCUGUUCCACGGGUUCUGUGUCGUAGCUAACGCAUUAAGUUCCCCGCCGUGGGGGAGUACGGCCGCAAGGCUAAAACUCAAAGGAAUUGACGGGGGCCCGCACAAGCGGCGGAGCAUGCGGAUUAAUUCGAUGCAACGCGAAGAACCUUACCAAGGCUUGACAUAUAGCAGAACACCGCAGAGAUGCGGGACUCUUUGGACACUGUUAUACAGGUGGUGCAUGGUUGUCGU
RNAcentral lists this ribosomal RNA (266 nucleotides) under uncultured bacterium. RNAcentral's name for it is "partial 16S ribosomal RNA". It matches the Rfam family "Bacterial small subunit ribosomal RNA", at positions 793 to 1055 of the family's 1533-position model. The record is from RNAcentral.